This 433-nucleotide ribosomal RNA is filed under the name uncultured bacterium. RNAcentral describes it as "partial 16S ribosomal RNA". It matches the Rfam family "Bacterial small subunit ribosomal RNA", at positions 29 to 507 of the family's 1533-position model. The record is from RNAcentral.
AACGAACGCUGGCGGCAUGCCUAACACAUGCAAGUCGAACGAGACCUUCGGGUCUAGUGGCGGAAGGGUGGGUAAUGCAUGGGAAACUGCGCUUAGGAUCGGUAUAACUUCUCGCAAGGGGUUCUAAUUACGGAUAAUAUCCUCGGACUAAAGAUUUAUCGCCUUUGGAUGUGCUCGCGUUGGAUUAGCUAGUUUGUAGGGUGAAAGCCUACCAAGGCGACGCUCCAUAGCUGGUUAGAGGGGAUGAGCAGCAACACUGGGACUGAGACACGGCACAGGCGCCUACGGGAGGCAGCAGUGGGGAAUAUUGAACAAGGGGCGAAAGCCUGAUCCUGCCAUGCCGCGUGAGUGAUGAAGGCCUUGAGGUUGUAAAGCUCUUUUACCCGGAAUGAUAAUGACGGUACCGGGAGAAUAAGCUCCGGCUAACUCCGUG